UACGAAGGGUGCAAACGUUGCUCGGAAUUAUUGGGCGUAAAGCGCACGUAGGCGGCUUGGCAAGUCGGGUGUGAAAGCCCUCAGCUCAACUGAGGAAGUGCGCCCGAAACUGCAUAGCUUGAGUACCGGAGAGGAUGGUGGAAUUCCCGAAGUAGAGGUGAAAUUCGUAGAUAUCGGGAGGAACACCGGUGGCGAAGGCGACCAUCUGGACGGAUACUGACGCUGAGACGCGAAAGCGUGGGUAGCAAACAGG
RNAcentral lists this ribosomal RNA (253 nucleotides) under uncultured bacterium. RNAcentral describes it as "partial 16S ribosomal RNA". It matches the Rfam family "Bacterial small subunit ribosomal RNA", at positions 524 to 776 of the family's 1533-position model. The record is from RNAcentral.